Molecule: ribosomal RNA, 305 nt
Filed under: uncultured bacterium
Lineage: Bacteria
Description: bacterial SSU rRNA
Rfam family: Bacterial small subunit ribosomal RNA
Source: RNAcentral
CCUACGGGGCGCAGCAGUGGGGAAUAUUGGGCAAUGGGCGCAAGCCUGACCCAGCAACGCCGCGUGAAGGAAGAAGGCUUUCGGGUUGUAAACUUCUUUUCUUGGGGACGAAGAAAGUGACGGUACCCAAGGAAUAAGCCACGGCUAACUACGUGCCAGCAGCCGCGGUAAUACGUAGGGGGCAAGCGUUAUCCGGAUUUACUGGGUGUAAAGGGAGCGUAGACGGCAUAGCAAGUCUGAUGUGAAAGAUCGGGGCUCAACCCCGGGCCUGCAUUGGAAACUGUUAAGCUGGAGUACAGGAGAGG